Molecule: long non-coding RNA, 543 nt
Filed under: Apteryx owenii (little spotted kiwi)
Lineage: Eukaryota; Metazoa; Chordata; Aves; Apterygiformes; Apterygidae
Description: lncRNA (ENSAOWG00000003231.1)
Source: RNAcentral
AUGCCUGAGGAGAAAAGAGAAUUCCAAAAGGACCAUCUUACAAAACAAAAGAAAGAGCUGACUGACAAGAUAACAUAUGUAGCACCUGAUCAGGAAGCUGCUAAAAGAACACUGACUGCUGAAAAUGAUAAACUGAAGCAAUAUAAAGGUCAAGAAUGGCAAACCGUAGAAAGCCCUAGAAAAACAACUGAGCAAAGUAAUAUAAUAUGGAAAAAGAAAUUCCAGAUUCUACAAAAGAGCUUGCAUGCCAUUAAGGAUGAGAUGUUUCUUAGGCAAACCCUGCAACGUCGGUUAUUUGUGUUUAAAAGUACAUCCCUCAGUGAGACAAUGUCUUUUCCUGUUUAUAUUGAAAAUGAUACACAAGAUGUGAAAGGAUUCAGAGGUGGCUUAUAUUUACCUUUAACUUUGCCUCCAAUACAAUCCCAGUCUACUGAACAGCAGAAAGAAGGUGAAGAUAAUUUUCUUAGACUUACAAAUGCAACAAAAAAGGACAGUGUAUUUGAAGAUGCAGGACAGCAUGCAACAAGAAGGAAAAGGAUGUGA